UACGUAGGGUGCGAGCGUUGUCCGGAAUUACUGGGCGUAAAGCGCGCGCAGGCGGCCUUUUAAGUCUGCUGGUGAAAUGCCGGGGCUCAACCCCGUGCCCGCCACAGAUACUGGGAGGCUGGAGACGAGUAGAGGCAAGCGGAAUUCCGGGUGUAGCGGUGGAAUGCGUAGAGAUCCGGAAGAACACCGGAGGCGAAGGCGGCUUGCUGGGCUCGGUCUGACGCUGAGGCGCGAAAGCGUGGGGAGCGAACAGG
RNAcentral lists this ribosomal RNA (254 nucleotides) under uncultured bacterium. Its description in RNAcentral is "partial 16S ribosomal RNA". It matches the Rfam family "Bacterial small subunit ribosomal RNA", at positions 524 to 776 of the family's 1533-position model. The record is from RNAcentral.